GAUGAACGCUGGCGGCGUGCCUAAUACAUGCAAGUCGAGCGAACAGACGAGGAGCUUGCUCCUCUGACGUUAGCGGCGGACGGGUGAGUAACACGUGGAUAACCUACCUAUAAGACUGGGAUAACUUCGGGAAACCGGAGCUAAUACCGGAUAACAUGUUGAACCGCAUGGUUCAACAGUGAAAGACGGUCUUGCUGUCACUUAUAGAUGGAUCCGCGCCGCAUUAGCUAGUUGGUAAGGUAACGGCUUACCAAGGCAACGAUGCGUAGCCGACCUGAGAGGGUGAUGGGCCACACUGGAACUGAGACACGGUCCAGACUCCUACGGGAGGCAGCAGUAGGGAAUCUUCCGCAAUGGGCGAAAGCCUGACGGAGCAGCGCCGCGUGAGUGAAGAAGGUCUUCGGAUCGGAAAACUCUGUUAUUAGGGAAGAACAAAUGUGUAAGUAACUAUGCACGUCUUGACGGUACCUAAUCAGAAAGCCACGGCUAACUACGUG
RNAcentral lists this ribosomal RNA (497 nucleotides) under uncultured bacterium. RNAcentral's name for it is "partial 16S ribosomal RNA". It matches the Rfam family "Bacterial small subunit ribosomal RNA", at positions 28 to 507 of the family's 1533-position model. The record is from RNAcentral.